UUGCUUUCAACGGGGUUAGCGGCGGACGGGUGAGUAACACGUAGGCAACCUGCCUUCAAGGCUGGGAUAACAUCCGGAAACGGAUGCUAAUACCGGAUACACCAUUUGGCUGCAUGGCGGAAUGGGGAAAGGCGGAGCAAUCUGCCACUUGGAGAUGGGCCUGCGGCGCAUUAGCUAGUUGGUGGGGUAACGGCUCACCAAGGCGACGAUGCGUAGCCGACCUGAGAGGGUGAUCGGCCACACUGGGACUGAGACACGGCCCAGACUCCUACGGGAGGCAGCAGUAGGGAAUCUUCCGCAAUGGACGAAAGUCUGACGGAGCAACGCCGCGUGAGUGAUGAAGGUUUUCGGAUCGUAAAGCUCUGUUGCCAGGGAAGAACGAGUGGGAGAGUAACUGCUCUUGCUAUGACGGUACCUGAGAAGAAAGCCCCGGCUAACUACGUGCCAGCAGCCGCGGUAAUACGUAGGGGGCAAGCGUUGUCCGGAAUUAUUGGGCGUAAAGCGCGCGCAGGCGGCUUGGAAAGUCGGGUGUUUAAGCUCGGGGCUCAACCCCGAUACGCACCCGAAACUGCCAGGCUUGAGUGCAGAAGAGGAAAGUGGAAUUCCACGUGUAGCGGUGAAAUGCGUAGAGAUGUGGAGGAACACCAGUGGCGAAGGCGACUUUCUGGGCUGUAACUGACG
This 681-nucleotide ribosomal RNA is filed under the name Bacillus sp. Schreyahn_K5.Aster. RNAcentral describes it as "bacterial SSU rRNA". It matches the Rfam family "Bacterial small subunit ribosomal RNA", at positions 76 to 745 of the family's 1533-position model. Lineage: Bacteria; Bacillati; Bacillota; Bacilli; Caryophanales; Bacillaceae. The record is from RNAcentral.